CAGAUCAGAGUCCAAGUUUUCCUCCCGAUGCGUAUACGUAGAGCCCCAAAGAGAGAAAGAGACAGAGUGAGGGAGACCCACACGGCCACUAGAGUCAGAGCACCAUUGACAUAAGCGCGCUCCGUCGUCCCAAGCCGUCCCAAAGUUCCCAAGACGACGGAUUUGGCAAACGAAAAUAAAUGUUCUCCCACAACGGAAGUCAUAUCAAGCCUUAAAGGAAAUACAUAGAAUCACUGUGAUUUAGUUUCAGCUACAAGCACAGCGAUUGCAAAGAGCCACAUUUCUUAUUAAGGCUGAGAAAAGGCUAAUCCAGCCACAUUAACCGUAUAGAGUUCUCAAACUUGGAUGUAUUCUAAGUGAAACUUCUUGUUCUACGGAAAGUUUGCUCCAUAGCUUGAGGGGAGUUUUCAGUGUUUCACUUGCACGCGACCGACCCCAAGGCCUUGAUCGCAAGACACGAAGGAGGGCCUGCUGCUCGACUGAACUCCCAUGCUAUGGGCAACUUCACGCAAGAAAUGACAUGGCCUGUCACGGCCUCCAGAGACAUCCCCAUAACUAUAAGCCUAACCUCGUUCGCCCUCGCUCCCUGGUUUGUGCCUCUUUGGAACGUCUUAGUGUCUUUGCCUUGAAAGGUUUUGGAAGCUCGCGUGGUUGAUGGCUUGUUCAGCGAAUGAUCUAGCUCCCUUCUCAACUGCGUGCGCUAGAGAUGAAGACGCCAAAGCCCCUAUUUACACACGCCAUGGUAGUUCCCCUUAUCCCUUGAAAGCGCGGAGCAGAUUGGAGAAGAAGCUGUUGGCCACGGAACGACCCGAAAUGACUCCACAUUCUGGCAUUCCUUUAUUCGUGGAUCGGAGAAAAUAAGCGAGGUUUCUUGAGUGUUUUUCUUUAAUGGCGGGUUUGCCCGAUGUUCAUCUGGGCAUUGGGGGUUGCGAGAUUUUGUUCCAGAGGCUCGAAAGCUUCCGAACCACCUGCUUCACACAAAGUGAUCAGCCAGCGAGAAAUGAAAGGACACCUUCAUUGCAUCCUUGUUUUACUGUUUUCCGCUUAACUGGAUACGUCAUGGCAUCUCCAGUUUGGCACCCUUUUUAAAGUGGCACUGGCAUUGAUUGUCAUGGUCAUAUUCCUAAUUGGCAGCCUUUGGGCGAAUCGGACAAUGGACUGGAAAAAACCAUGAGCAGUCCCUGGUCUCUCGAGUCCCCCGAGUCUCCAAUGGCACUUGUGUUCAAAUCGAAUCGGACCCAAAUUUCCCCUAAUUUGCAUAACGAUCAUUUCACUUGAAUAUUUUGUCCCUUUCCGCGAGGACAACAAUGCCAAUGUUUACGACUUUAUGACCAGAUGCGCUCCCACUACAAUACACACAUGAACACUGGAUACAAAGCGAUCCUCAAUUCUAACCAACCAACCAACCAACUAGCCAUGGUUCUCGGGUUUAUGAGGCGUUUCCAGAGGCAAAUUACCUUCAAAGUUGGAAUUAUUAUUCACCCCUUCGAAUCUGACGUAGCUCAUCUGGGCACACGUAGAUCCUGAGGGACAUUUCGAAAUUCAAUAUUGACGUCUCAUCGCUGGAUGGACCUGACAAUGUGCGGAGAUUGACUGAAACUCGGCACCAGUUAUUAUUUACGAUCUAGUUCCAUUCAUAAAUAUGAAGUUAUGUGCCUUGCUAGACACGACUCGUGGAUGAACUGUGUAGUAUAUUGUGCACCACAUCCAUAUUAAGUUCACUGACUGUCUGGAACUCGGUCCCCCACACUUCAAUGACAAAGGCUAUUGAGGCGUCAUCAAUACAUUGAAAAGGAAUUUCGCCCAUCAAACAACGGCUCAACAUUCGCUCGUCCAAAUCGUCGGGCUCGUCUCUAAGCUAAAUCAAAGUACUGGCAUUGGCAACUAAGUAAAUAAACAUCUGGAUGAUGACCUUGAGCUCUUCUCAUA
Tigriopus californicus is the source of this 1929-nucleotide long non-coding RNA. RefSeq lists it as uncharacterized. The transcript is spliced from 2 exons. The record is from RefSeq and is a predicted model, not a curated record. NCBI's taxonomy places the organism in Eukaryota, Metazoa, Arthropoda, Copepoda, Harpacticoida, Harpacticidae.